UUUGUCAGAGAUCAGCUGGGAAGUUCUGGUCUCAGCUCUAAAGAAAAAUCCUUCCAAUCUGACAGAACUGGACCUGAGCAUCAACAACCUGGAUAAUCCAGGAUUUUUUCAUCUGUGUGGUUUUCUAGAGAGUCAAGACUGCAGAGUGCAGAUUCUGAGGUUGUGGAGCUGCAGGUUGUCAAAGAUCAGCUGUGAUGCUCUGGUCACAGCUCUGAAGUCCAACCCGUCCCACUUGACAGAACUAGAUCUGAGACGUAACAACCUUCAGUCUUCAGAUGUUCAGCAGCUCCAGGAUCUGGUCAAGAGUCCAAACUUCAAACUGCAGACUCUGAGGUUGGAGGUAGAGGCUCUCUCCAUUAUCAACUGAUCACGCAGAGAGGAGCAUCAGCAACAGCUGGUCUGCAGAGAUGUUGUUCCUGGAGGUGGAGAGCAGGGUUAUAGAGGAAUCAGAGGAAGUGGAGAUGAGUUUAAAGAAGUUCAAUCUAAAUUCAGCAGAAUCUGAUCAUUUUCUAGAAUGUCUGAAACUAGUAGAAACUUUCUGAGCAUAAAGCCUGUUUUCUCCAGAGGACAUGAAUGAACAGAGUGGAUGUUAGUGAGGAAUGACAGAGAAUCACUUUGAUGCAGCUGCUGCAGCAACACUAACUGCAUUGAAGCAGGAGGGAGAAGGGAGACACGUGCUGGCUGUUUUCAGAACUGCAUCUUAGUGUCAGAAGGGUUUUAUUGAUUUUUUUCAACUAUAGAUUUUGAAAAAUACAUGUAAAAAUAUAUAUAUAAUUUAUUGCAGAAAUAAUGAAAUGUAUUGAUUAGAAAAUAGUAAACAAACAAACAAAAACAAAGACACACUUAUGUCACAUUUGAUUCAUUAGAUAUAGUUAUUAUUAACUAAAGUCAGUAAAGUUUGGUUGAUUGAAAAGCAGCGGGACGAUGAACUUAUAUAAUCCCACCCUAUUUAGUUACUCCAUUUUACGGUUUUGCAUAAUUAUGUUAUUUAGUUCAGAUCAGAUUAAAUGCAACAUUUUAUUUCAAUCACACUUCAUGUAAGAUGUUAUUUAUUACUUAUUGAUUAUUAACAGAAAACAAUUUUACAUUAUUUAGAAAUCAGCACUACCUAUUGCAUAUCAAGUUUUCUGGUAAAAAUAGAGUGAUUAUUUAUUAUUCUAUGAAAUAAUUCUUACAUAUGUUCAGUAACCGUAAGGAUUCACACAAUAUGUAACAACCCUUGAUUAUCAUUAGAACACAUGAUUAGCUUAAUCCAGGUAUCAUUGCUACAUAUUUCAGACCAAGUAAACUUAAUCAAUACCUUAUUGAUUGGAAUCAAAACAUUUCAGUAAUCAUAACGGCAUAUUACAGAGUGUAAAACUGCUUUGUUGUAAUUAAAAAUGCUUGAUUAUUUCACCACAUUCAAGUUAAUGUGUUCACACAUUUGGAAUUAUUCAAACAUCAGCUGUUUUUUUAAAUUCAUCCUCAUAUUGUAAAAUUAAAGUUACUUUAAACAUUUUCUCGAAUGUAUGGAUGUCUGAAAAUUGUUUGAGCUGAACCUGUUCCAAAUCUUAAUGACACACACAGAAACUUUUCUUUGUGGCUCUUUUCAAUAUGAAAUUAAAGUUCCUUCUUCUUUCCAGUUUGUAUCCUCUUUCAUUUUCUAAGAGCUGUUUUUGGAUAUUGUAUGGUAAUGUUUUCCCAAUAGCUCUGUAGAGAGUUUGUGCAGUGUAAAAAUCAUUAAGGUCAGUUUUAAAAUUCUGGAUUGAUAAAAUAAAUUGUUAGUGUGAUCAAGAUA
Molecule: long non-coding RNA, 1777 nt
Organism: Oryzias melastigma (Indian medaka)
Lineage: Eukaryota; Metazoa; Chordata; Actinopteri; Beloniformes; Adrianichthyidae
Exons: 3
Source: RefSeq, a predicted model, not a curated record